CGGGAAGAGCUCAAAUUUAUAAUCUGGCACCUUCGGUGUCCGAGUUGUAAUCUCUAGAAAUGUUUUCCGCGUUGGACCGCACACAAGUCUGUUGGAAUACAGCGGCAUAGUGGUGAGACCCCCGUAUAUGGUGCGGACGCCCAGCGCUUUGUGAUACAUUUUCGAAGAGUCGAGUUGUUUGGGAAUGCAGCUCAAAUUGGGUGGUAAAUUCCAUCUAAAGCUAAAUAUUGGCGAGAGACCGAUAGCGAACAAGUACCGUGAGGGAAAGAUGAAAAGCACUUUGGAAAGAGAGUUAACAGUACGUGAAAUUGUUGGAAGGGAAACGCUUGAAGUCAGACUUGCUUGCCGAGCAAUCGGUUUGCAGGCCAGCAUCAGUUUUCCGGGAUGGAUAAUGGUAGAGAGAAGGUAGCAGUUUCGGCUGUGUUAUAGCUCUCUGCUGGAUACAUCUUGGGGGACUGAGGAACGCACUGUGCCUUUGGCGGGGGUUU
Molecule: ribosomal RNA, 488 nt
Filed under: Rhodotorula mucilaginosa
Lineage: Eukaryota; Fungi; Basidiomycota; Microbotryomycetes; Sporidiobolales; Sporidiobolaceae
Description: eukaryotic LSU rRNA
Rfam family: Eukaryotic large subunit ribosomal RNA
Source: RNAcentral